UUCGUUAUUGAAUAGAUGAGGGAUACCACCAACUCACUGGAAGAGGAGGCAACUGCCUUGUGUCUAGUUAUCUUAUGAAAGAUAUAGGCUCAUAUGUCUGCCUGGCAAGACAAAAUUAGUUUUGAAUAAUAGGAAAGGAUUCAAAAUAAGGAUAAUUUCAAUUUCUGCAAUUGUUACCAUAAGACUGAAUUACAACUUGAGAAGUGCUUUGCCCAGGUAUUCACAGGUUCAUGGUGAAGAAAACCAGGUAGCAGUUCUACAGGGCUAAAAGAAGAACUUCAAGCAUUUCAACUUGACUGCCAAAGAAGCUAAAGAGAGGAGACAGAUGUGCACCAUGAACAAAACAGUAUCCUGUCCUUAGAUACGGAUAAGCCUGAAACAUCCAACAGCCAAGAAGAACAUCAAGAAAAUACGUAUAUUCAGCUGUCUCAUUCGAGCCCUGGUGAGGAAAUACAUGACACUGGCUGCUGGACUCCAGAGGCCCUUUCGGAACAUGGAUUUCUACACACUAGAUCUGCCGAGGAAAGGAGACACCUUCUCCAAGCAGGAACUGCCUGUGAGCCUUUUCUGCCCAUUCUGGUUCAAGGAGACAGGAUCAAUGUGAUUUUUUCAGGAAGAAAAUACCCGAGUGUGCAUCCCCAGUUGCUGGAUUUUAUUGCUUCUGCUGUGCUAAACAUCCAAUUCUCCACCAAAAAGGCGCGUCUUUUCUCAUGAGAGGAAUAAGCUUUAAACUACACUUCAGUAUGGAAGCAAACAGUAGAUUGGUAAAAUUAAGCUACUGAAGACUUUUCCCAGUCCCUAAAACUGUAUCAUCAAACCCUACGGUGCUGGUCCUGCUUAGUUUGACUCUACGUGUCAGUCUUAAGCACUAACAAGUUAUUCUAAUACUGCUAUGGACCAAAUAUGAAUGAGGCAUCCUUGUACAAACAAGAAGUCAUAGGCAGUCUCUGAACUGCCCAGCUUGAAAUAGAGGUAGAUCAGACAUAAAUGGGGUAGGGAAAGUGGUAUAAUACAUAAGCAAAGAGGUUCACUGGAGUGAUGGCAAAAAAUGAGGAUGUUUGCUCCACCCGUGUUCUUCCCCUCUCUUUUGUGAUGGGUUGAAUUAGGAGAAAAUCAGAUAAACAGCAAGAAAAUUGUGAAAUGAGGAUGAGUCUAAACAGAAAGGG
This is a long non-coding RNA of Chroicocephalus ridibundus (black-headed gull), 1166 nucleotides long. RefSeq lists it as uncharacterized. Lineage: Eukaryota; Metazoa; Chordata; Aves; Charadriiformes; Laridae. The record is from RefSeq and is a predicted model, not a curated record. The transcript has 5 exons.